ACCGAAGCCUAUAACCGCCUCCGGGCGUGAUGGGCGGCUGGUAUCCUCCUUCUGAGGGGUGUAUGGCGCAGCGUGGGCCGGCUUUCGGGUCGCGAAUUCCCACUGUUGCGGCGGAUCAUUCCUUGGGCAACUCAGUGGGGGCAAUUGGAUAGCUCGGCGGGCAUCUUUAGCGGCUUCGGCCUGGAGGUGCUACGGGCUGGGCGCUGGGCUUCGGCUCACGUCCCGACCUUCUAACCAAUUCUGACCCCUCUUCAUUGAGGGUAGCCGGUGGCCUCUCGUCCCUCGGGAUGAAUGCUUUCCCGGUUAAGAUAGUUACCUGGUUGAUUCUGCCAGUAGUCAUAUGCUUGUCUCAA
RNAcentral lists this unclassified non-coding RNA (353 nucleotides) under Cladonia asahinae. RNAcentral describes it as "partial 28S-18S ribosomal RNA intergenic spacer". RNAcentral also lists the same sequence under 1 other name. The record is from RNAcentral. Lineage: Eukaryota; Fungi; Ascomycota; Lecanoromycetes; Lecanorales; Cladoniaceae.